CUGUCAGAGACAACCAUCACUUCUUUUGCUUUUUAGCCACUAAGAUAGAAAUACACCAAACUGAGUUAAAGUUUGCCAUAUUGUAAAUAAAGUAUUGACCCUGAAGACAAGUGAAACAUUCUCUGUCAAGGCAAUAACUUUUGUCUUUGUAAGAUUGCAUCAAGAACAACUACUAGAGAGCCAAGCUAGAAUGAUAAGGACUUCACAACUUCCUUAUAAGAAGAAAUAGCCGCUGAUCAAGCUCAAAAUGAGAGACAUGAGAAGGAUCUCCUUUCAGCAUCAUUAGAAGCCCACCAUAUGAAACAUAUAUCUCCGCUUUAACUGCUUUUCCUGAACCUUCCUCAGAAAUCUUGUAUAAUUUCCCAUGCAUUAUGUAUUCAUAUUUGUCUGCAAGGGUUUUCCUUGCUCCCUGAAUAUAAUAGCCAGUGUCGGGUGUUCCAUCCAAAUUUAGAGUGUGUGCCAACGCCAUGGUGAAUUUAUCACCUACAGCCAUUGGGUAUAUUUCUGUAUUCACAUCUAAGUGCAUGAACAUGUCACAGUUCUGGCUGUGUGCUUCAAUACGCGAAACUUUAUCAAACUUUUUGCCAUCUGGAUCUAGUUUAUCAACCACAAAAAUAUCCUCGAAAAGAACUACAUUCGACAUGGGUAAGGAAGUGAAAAAGCUGUUUUGAAAUAGAUACUCUCGUUCUAUGGGUUGCAGAGAAGCUGAGAUAGAAGGCAAGAAACAAUAGACAGAAAUAUAGUCGCAAGGCG
This 753-nucleotide unclassified non-coding RNA is filed under the name Hevea brasiliensis (rubber tree). Lineage: Eukaryota; Viridiplantae; Streptophyta; Magnoliopsida; Malpighiales; Euphorbiaceae. The record is from RNAcentral.